AUUUCUCAAAUUGUAACUAUCUUGCUUUGGCAAUAAAAGAACAUGUUCUAAUUGUCUAAUGCAGGGGCCAGUCUGAACCUGAGCUAAAUUAUUUACACACUUUAAGAUACUAGUGCAUUUUUAUCUGGUUAAAACAAUUGCUGUCGAUCACUGUUUUCCCUGUUGACGAUAUGUGCCUUCUGUUCCUUCCUACUUUUCUUUAAGGUGUGCAUCUUUUCUUUUAUUCAUGCCUAGCCUUCUGUAUCAUUUUCUUAUUUCAUUUUAUCAUUUGGGCUUAG
RNAcentral lists this unclassified non-coding RNA (278 nucleotides) under Hevea brasiliensis (rubber tree). The record is from RNAcentral. Lineage: Eukaryota; Viridiplantae; Streptophyta; Magnoliopsida; Malpighiales; Euphorbiaceae.